AAGUGAGAAGCAAAUGUUGCAGUCAGUUUCGACCUGGCCUUUGGUAAUAAUUUACCCUUACUUU
Molecule: transfer RNA, 64 nt
Filed under: Acidnotermes praus
Lineage: Eukaryota; Metazoa; Arthropoda; Insecta; Blattodea; Termitidae
Description: tRNA-Arg
Source: RNAcentral